This 458-nucleotide ribosomal RNA is filed under the name uncultured Cyanobacterium sp. RNAcentral's name for it is "bacterial SSU rRNA". It matches the Rfam family "Bacterial small subunit ribosomal RNA", at positions 340 to 814 of the family's 1533-position model. The record is from RNAcentral. Lineage: Bacteria; Bacillati; Cyanobacteriota; Cyanophyceae; Chroococcales; Geminocystaceae.
UACGGGAGGCAGCAGUGGGGAAUUUUCCGCAAUGGGCGAAAGCCUGACGGAGCAAUACCGCGUGAGGGAAGACUGCCUAUGGGUUGUAAACCUCUUUUUUCAGGGAGGAAUAAAAUGACGUGUACCUGAAGAAUAAGCAUCGGCUAACUCCGUGCCAGCAGCCGCGGUAAGACGGAGGAUGCAAGUGUUAUCCGGAAUCACUGGGCGUAAAGCGUCUGUAGGUGGCUUAAUAAGUCAACUGUUAAAUCUUGAGGCUCAACUUCAAAAUCGCAGUCGAAACUAUUAGACUAGAGUAUAGUAGAGGUAAAGGGAAUUUCCAGUGGAGCGGUGAAAUGCGAUAUUGGAAAGAACACCGAUGGCGAAAGCACUUUACUGGGCUAUUACUAACACUCAGAGACGAAAGCUAGGGUAGCAAAUGGGAUUAGAUACCCCAGUAGUCCUAGCCGUAAACUAUGGAU